This 465-nucleotide ribosomal RNA is filed under the name uncultured bacterium. RNAcentral describes it as "partial 16S ribosomal RNA". It matches the Rfam family "Bacterial small subunit ribosomal RNA", at positions 28 to 507 of the family's 1533-position model. The record is from RNAcentral.
GACGAACGCUGGCGGCGUGCUUAACACAUGCCAGUCGAACGGAAAGGCCCUGCUUGCAGGGUACUCGAGUGGCGAACGGGUGAGUAACACGUGGGUGAUCUGCCCUGCACUUCGGGAUAAGCCUGGGAAACUGGGUCUAAUACCGGAUAGGAGCCAUUUUUAGUGUGAUGGUUGGAAAGUUUUUUCGGUGUAGGAUGAGCUCGCGGCCUAUCAGCUUGUUGGUGGGGUAAUGGCCUACCAAGGCGGCGACGGGUAGCCGGCCUGAGAGGGUGGACGGCCACAUUGGGACUGAGAUACGGCCCAGACACCUACGGGAGGCAGCAGUGGGGAAUAUUGCACAAUGGGCGCAAGCCUGAUGCAGCGACGCCGCGUGGGGGAUGACGGCCUUCGGGUUGUAAACUCCAUUCGCUAGGGACGAAGCUUUUUGUGACGGUACCUAGAGAAGAAGCACCGGCUAACUACGUG